CGGAUUUGGCGGCAAGAUAGCUUUUUAGAGGAACCUGCCCUGUGAACGAUGAUCCGCGAGAGCCUUACUUUACUUUGAAAUCAGUUUGUAUACCGCUGUUGUCAGUUAGAUUUUUGAGAAUAUUUUCUUUUUGGUAAAGCCAAUGACUUCAAGUAAAGGUGCAGCUUAUAGUAAAGUUAGAGGUGGGUUACAUUUAUAAGAAUAAGACGGAUUAAGGAUUUAAUUGACUUAUGAAGGUGGAUUUAACCGUAAAAUUGAAUUAGAUUUGGUGAUAGCUCUAUCUUGUGUACACACCGCCCGUC
Molecule: ribosomal RNA, 302 nt
Filed under: Chelonibia patula
Lineage: Eukaryota; Metazoa; Arthropoda; Thecostraca; Balanomorpha; Chelonibiidae
Description: partial 12S ribosomal RNA
Source: RNAcentral